GUCUUACACUUGAUCUCUAAGGUAAGUUCAUGUGUUGACAAGUACAUAGAAUAGAAAAAGCUCUGAAAGGUUGCU
This 75-nucleotide small nucleolar RNA is filed under the name Nelumbo nucifera (sacred lotus). RNAcentral's name for it is "Small nucleolar RNA snoR101". It matches the Rfam family "Small nucleolar RNA snoR101". Lineage: Eukaryota; Viridiplantae; Streptophyta; Magnoliopsida; Proteales; Nelumbonaceae. The record is from Rfam by way of RNAcentral.